UCCUCGGUAGCUCAGUUGGCAGAGCAGGUGACUGUUAAUCACCUGGUCCGUGGUUCGAGUCCACGCCGGGGAGCCA
Molecule: transfer RNA, 76 nt
Filed under: Magnetococcales bacterium
Lineage: Bacteria; Pseudomonadati; Pseudomonadota; Magnetococcia; Magnetococcales
Description: tRNA-Asn
Rfam family: tRNA
About the family: Transfer RNA (tRNA) molecules are approximately 80 nucleotides in length. Their secondary structure includes four short double-helical elements and three loops (D, anti-codon, and T loops). Further hydrogen bonds mediate the characteristic L-shaped molecular structure. tRNAs have two regions of fundamental functional importance: the anti-codon, which is responsible for specific mRNA codon recognition, and the 3' end, to which the tRNAs corresponding amino acid is attached (by aminoacyl-tRNA synthetases). tRNAs cope with the degeneracy of the genetic code in two manners: having more than one tRNA (with a specific anti-codon) for a particular amino acid; and 'wobble' base-pairing, i.e. permitting non-standard base-pairing at the 3rd anti-codon position.
Source: RNAcentral